Zootermopsis nevadensis is the source of this 767-nucleotide non-coding RNA. Lineage: Eukaryota; Metazoa; Arthropoda; Insecta; Blattodea; Termopsidae. The record is from RefSeq and is a predicted model, not a curated record.
AGUCGGCACACGCACAAUGGAUUUCCAUAACAUUUUCUGUUUUCACUUAUAUCUCUGCAGUUAUUCCGUUUCUACCCAAAUCAGUUUUACCGUCGCCAAAGAGCCAGAGCGUAAGAAGGGCAUUAAACGACCCCGAACUCUAUACAAGGCAACGUAAAACGACAAAUACAAUUGUGCCCACGGAUCGAUGGAUGAAGGGGCGACUGAUAUCGCAGUAGUUUCGAAGGUUACGUGUUCUUCACGCUUUUGCGAGGGACAAAAACACCUUACGGGCCUGUCCAUAUCUGUCUCUCGCGGGUCUUCUACGAGGGUAGACAACCUGCACGGUCAGGCGUCAUUGCUGUGCAACAAUGGGACAGGACGUCUCAUCGUCGGAACACAGUGUGGUGUAACAAUGACCUCCGAUCGCAUAAGUGUAAGAAUUAGCAAUGUGAUGCAGCGUGAACUCCAAAGAGAACAACUUCCCAGUCUGGUUUCAGGGGACAGAAGAGUUACCUAACUAAAACGUGUCCGGCUGUGCCUUAAUGUCCGGAUUGUGUGACGGAGUUUUGAGACCAAAGCUGCCAUUUGACAUUCUAUGACAUCAACGAGCAAUUCUCUCCGUUUGCAACACAUAAGAGUCGGUGUUAAAUUCAGAGAUGUUCUAAAAACAGCUCUUGAAAGAAAAGUUAGGUUAUGGCAAACUACCGACUUAGAAAGGUAUUACAUUAUUUCAUGUUGUGGCAUGUAUGUACAUACGUAUUUAAAUAAACAGGAUUAAAUGUGAA